GUGUCAGCAGCCGCGGUAAUACGGGGGGUGCAAGCGUUAAUCGGAAUCACUGGGCGUAAAGGGUGCGUAGGCGGUACGUUAGGUCUGUCGUGAAAUCCCCGGGCUCAACCUGGGAAUGGCGGUGGAAACCGGCGCACUAGAGUAUGGGAGAGGGUGGUGGAAUUCCAGGUGUAGCGGUGAAAUGCGUAGAGAUCUGGAGGAACAUCAGUGGCGAAGGCGGCCACCUGGCCCAAUACUGACGCUGAGGCACGAAAGCGUGGGGAGCAAACAGGAUUAGAAACCCCGGUAGUCC
RNAcentral lists this ribosomal RNA (292 nucleotides) under uncultured Acidithiobacillus sp. Its description in RNAcentral is "partial 16S ribosomal RNA". It matches the Rfam family "Bacterial small subunit ribosomal RNA", at positions 505 to 796 of the family's 1533-position model. The record is from RNAcentral. Lineage: Bacteria; Pseudomonadati; Pseudomonadota; Acidithiobacillia; Acidithiobacillales; Acidithiobacillaceae.